Molecule: ribosomal RNA, 484 nt
Filed under: uncultured bacterium
Lineage: Bacteria
Description: partial 16S ribosomal RNA
Rfam family: Bacterial small subunit ribosomal RNA
Source: RNAcentral
AUUGAACGCUGGCGGCAUGCUUUACACAUGCAAGUCGAACGGCGGCGCGGGCUUCGGCCUGGCGGCUAGUGGCGAACGGGUGAGUAAUACAUCAGACCGAGCCAAGCAGUGGGGGAUAGCUCGGCGAAAGCCGGAUUAAUACCGCAUAAGACCUGAGGAUAAAAGCGGGGGAUCUUCGGACCUCGCGCGAUUUUAGCGGCUGAUGGCAGAUUAGCUAGUUGGUGGGGUAAAGGCCUACCAAGCCGACGAUCCGUAGCUUGGCUGCGAGGACGACCAGCCACACCAGGACUGAGACGCGGCCCAGACUCCUACGGGAGGCAGCAGUGGGGAAUUUUGGACAAUGGGCGAAAGCCUGAUCCAGCAAUGCCGCGUGUGUUAUGAAGGGCUUCGGGUUGUAAAGCACUUUUGGCGGGAACGAAAAGGACUGUGCCAAUACCGCGGUUCGAUGACGGUACCCUCAGAAUAAGCACCGGCUAACUACGUG